Zea mays is the source of this 2717-nucleotide RNA transcript. RefSeq lists it as uncharacterized. Lineage: Eukaryota; Viridiplantae; Streptophyta; Magnoliopsida; Poales; Poaceae. The transcript has 7 exons. The record is from RefSeq and is marked validated.
GGCCUAACUGUGGCAGCGGUGCUAAACAUCAAUGGAGAGGGAAUCAUGGUGAGGCUUCUCCGGGUUUCCUCUCUUUCUCUAUCUCUUCCUACAUCGCCACUCGCCAGUGCGGCGGUGACCUCUAGAAUCCAAAGCAAGCUGUAGUGAGCAGCCCCUUACAUACUCUCUGCGGACUGCGGUCCGCACCGCACGCCAUCUCAGCAAGACGAGAGCUCCACCGCGCUGUUCACUUCUUCUGACGAAGGAUGGCGGGAAAAGAGGAUGAGAAUGAGAAGCCAUCGUUGGUGGCAGCCGGCGGCAAGCAAGAUCGGACAGCGGCGACCACGGGUGAGGAUCCGUGGCAAGCAUUUCGUUCCCCAUUUUCUUAUUCUUCGGCCUUUCUUCAGUUCCCAUUUCUCCCUUUCUCCAGAGUCCAGAGACUGGUCACCUUUGUCUUGUUUUUCAGAAUCCCUUCCGCAAAGGACGAAUCUUGAGUGGGGAAAGGCAGCGUGUAGCGAGGAUGACAUCCAGAAGUGUGUAGCUGCCGGUGCCUUCCAUCCCGGUGAGCUGGUCGAAUGGCGAGCUCCCGUCAAGGAUGAGACUCCGACGCUAUCCACCAUGGAGGAUCAGUUUGUUAUCCUGUCUCUGACGCACAUAAUUUGCGGUCUGAGGGUCGAUGCGAGCGAUUUCCUGGUCAGUGUGCUCGAGUACUACAGACUUGAGUGGUCUCACCUGACGCCCAACUCUAUUACGGCGCUGAGCAUCUUCGCCCACCUUUGUGAGGCCUACGUGGAGGCGCCUCCAACUGUGGAGGUCUUCACGCACUUCUACAGCCUCUAUCACAAUAGGAAAGGCGAAACGACAACACUGGGCGCCGUCUACUUCCGGCUCAGGGACAGGAUGAAGAAGAAUUAUCCAUUGUACUACUUGAGGUCCUCGCAGUUCAUGUGGGUUUCUCUGUGGUUCUAUGCCAAGGUACCAAAGAGCUGUCGCUUGACCUUCAGGGGUGAUAUACUAAAGGAGGAAAACAAUUGGAAUUGGAAAGAUCUUUUGCCUCUUUCCUGUGAGCAGAUGAAGCAGGUCGGCCAAAUCAUGAAGCUAAGUAACCAAGGCUUGACUGGUGCAGACAUCAUUCAUGAUUACCUCAAGCGCCGGAUUAGCCCUUUGCGCCGAAGGAUGCAUUUGACAUGCAAUUAUUCUGGCCUCUCAGAUCCUACCAGGGAUUCAGACAAAGAUCUUUCUGUGGAAGACAUUGAGAGCAAGCUGAGCUACCUUCUAGAUCUUAAGAGGAUGGGUGUGAAGCAGCCUACAGGUAGACUGGUCAGAGCAUCAACCAAUGACCAAGCCAAUCAGCCUCUAGACUUGCUGAAUGUUUGCUCAACUCACGAAGCUAAGAAGGAAGCACAACCUCAAGUUUGUGCCUCCCUACGAAGAUACACAAGGCAAUCUGCUGGUCCCAGGAAGGUUGCAGUACCUCCACCUCUUAAAAUUGACCCUCCCCCCACUCAAGGUCCGGCCCCAGAAGAGAUUCUAGAUGCCACAACAAACAUAGCGACUGCAGUUUCUCCAAACCUGGGCGUAGAACAAAAAUCUAUAGAGCACCCUACUGUGGCUGAAGAGCGGAAAAUAGCAGAGUUAGUGAAACCUACGUUUUCAGUCAUUGGUGCCAAAAGGAAGGCAUCUGCCCCCCGGUCUCGUUCAAAGAGAAGAGCAAAGUAUUCAUUACUUUCCGUUGUUACAAAGACCAGGAUGUCAUCUUUGGACACUGGUUCUAUAAAAGGGACUUCUAGAACAAAAGAGGCAGUGUUAGCGCUGAAUUCACGGUCAAUAGGAUUGGCUCGAUGCCCUCCUGCCUCUUUAGCAGAAGGGACAGGGAACGGUGGACUGUUCAUGCUUGCCAAAGUUGUUGACCAUACUAAGGUUGUUGAGGAUUCCAUGUCGAAUAUACUCCUUAAUCAACAAGUUGGAGAUUCUUCUCGCAAGGAGGUUGAUCCUGCACAAUCUAUCACUGAGAUUGUCCAAGACCAGGAGGCCAUUGAGGUUUCAGCUGCCAUUCCGGUGCCUAAUAAGGAGGAAAUAAACAGUGGGGUGAUAUGGGAGCGGAUGCAGAAAGUUCAGAGUGAAUUCUUCAUAUGUUCCCUUCCCUGUAGUACGUGUCACUCAGUAUGACAGCCUCCUCUGAGCUUUUAGAACAAGCAAAGAAGCUGGUCAUGGAGAAUAAACGCCUGAAGGACGUGCAGAUAAUGCUGUCGCAACAAGUGAAAGACCUCGAAGACGGCAGAAGGCUCUUAACAGAAAGGAUGAAGAAAGCCGAGCAGGAGACAUUCAAAAUAAUAGAAGAAAAUAUGAAGCUCAAAGAUGAGAACAAAGGGCAGAAGCAGAUGAUCGAGGAGCUGAGUAAGCAGAAUGAGUCAACCCUAGGGGCCUUGGUCCAUAAAUGCACUCUGUUGGACCGCUACAAAGAGGAGUCUGCUCAGCUCAUUAGAGAGAAGGAAGAGCUGCAAUCGCGUGUUUCGCGUGUCAAUGAUCUUGUCAAGCUAGUCUCUAGUACUUUGUGCCAAGAGAAAGACAGCGCUUCCUAAAUUUUAUGUAGCAUUUGUGUGUUUGACAAGUGCAAAUGAGAUCCACAGAAGGAAUGUGAUUGGAAGCGAAUGCAGAUUACUGAUGUAUAGAAACAUCCUUAUCAAUGAUUGAUGUAGUCUAAAAUCUCAACUGAAGGGGUUAUGGCAUUAUGGGCA